UCCUGGCUCAGGACGAACGCUGGCGGCGUGCUUAACACAUGCAAGUCGAACGGUGACGAUGGAGCUUGCUCUGUCUGAUCAGUGGCGAACGGGUGAGUAACACGUGAGUAACCUGCCCCCGACUCUGGAAUAACCGUGGGAAACGACGGCUAAUACCGGAUAUGAGACGCACAGGCAUCUGUGGGUCUGGAAAGAUUUAUCGGUCAGGGAUGGACUCGCGGCCUAUCAGCUUGUUGGUGGGGUAAUGGCCUACCAAGGCGACGACGGGUAGCCGGCCUGAGAGGGCGAUCGGCCACACUGGGACUGAGAUACGGCCCAGACUCCUACGGGAGGCAGCAGUGGGGAAUAUUGCACAAUGGGCGCAAGCCUGAUGCAGCGACGCCGCGUGAGGGAUGAAGGCCUUCGGGUUGUAAACCUCUUUCAGCAGGGAAGAAGCGAAAGUGACGGUACCUGCAGAAGAAGCGCCGGCUAACUACGUGCCAGCAGCCGCGGUAAUACGUAGGGCGCAAGCGUUGUCCGGAAUUAUUGGGCGUAAAGAGCUYGUAGGCGGUUUGUCGCGUCUGCUGUGAAAACCUGAGGCUCAACCUCGGGCUUGCAGUGGGUACGGGCAGACUAGAGUGCGGUAGGGGUGACUGGAAUUCCUGGUGUAGCGGUGGAAUGCGCAGAUAUCAGGAGGAACACCGAUGGCGAAGGCAGGUCACUGGGCCGCAACUGACGCUGAGGAGCGAAAGCAUGGGGAGCGAACAGGAUUAGAUACCCUGGUAGUCCAUGCCGUAAACGUUGGGCACUAGGUGUGGGGCUCAUUCCACGAGUUCCGUGCCGCAGCAAACGCAUUAAGUGCCCCGCCUGGGGAGUACGGCCGCAAGGCUAAAACUCAAAGAAAUUGACGGGGGCCCGCACAAGCGGCGGAGCAUGCGGAUUAAUUCGAUGCAACGCGAAGAACCUUACCCAAGGCUUGACAUACACCGGAAAAGUGCAGAGAUGUGCUCCCCGCAAGGUCGGUGUACAGGUGGUGCAUGGUUGUCGUCAGCUCGUGUCGUGAGAUGUUGGGUUAAGUCCCGCAACGAGCGCAACCCUCGUCCUAUGUUGCCAGCGGGUCAUGCCGGGGACUCAUAGGAGACUGCCGGGGUCAACUCGGAGGAAGGUGGGGAUGACGUCAAAUCAUCAUGCCCCUUAUGUYUUGGGCUUCACGCAUGCUACAAUGGCCGGUACAAAGGGCUGCGAUACCGCGAGGUGGAGCGAAUCCCAAAAAGCCGGUCUCAGUUCGGAUUGGGGUCUGCAACUCGACCCCAUGAAGUCGGAGUCGCUAGUAAUCGCAGAUCAGCAACGCUGCGGUGAAUAC
This 1342-nucleotide ribosomal RNA is filed under the name Cellulomonas sp. KAR1. RNAcentral's name for it is "16S ribosomal RNA". It matches the Rfam family "Bacterial small subunit ribosomal RNA", at positions 17 to 1369 of the family's 1533-position model. Lineage: Bacteria; Bacillati; Actinomycetota; Actinomycetes; Micrococcales; Cellulomonadaceae. The record is from RNAcentral.